This 18-nucleotide small RNA is filed under the name Arabidopsis thaliana (thale cress). RNAcentral describes it as "ATSL226780". The record is from RNAcentral. Lineage: Eukaryota; Viridiplantae; Streptophyta; Magnoliopsida; Brassicales; Brassicaceae.
UUUUUUUUUGAUUUUUCC